Molecule: RNA transcript, 3738 nt
Organism: Dioscorea cayenensis subsp. rotundata (Guinea yam)
Lineage: Eukaryota; Viridiplantae; Streptophyta; Magnoliopsida; Dioscoreales; Dioscoreaceae
Gene name: ATP-dependent zinc metalloprotease FTSH 12, chloroplastic
Exons: 22
Source: RefSeq, a predicted model, not a curated record
CCCUCCCCUUCAGGCCUCAGCUCCUCUCUGAAGAUGCUCCAAUCGUGGCAUUCUUGAGAAAUCUCGUCUCCAUAUCCUGAUAUCGCCCUGAUGGCACUCAUAGUGCGUUCCGGUUCUUGCCCCUAUCACUUUCACGCCUCUCAGAGUCCUCUCCUCUCCAGGCCCUCCUUCUCUCUGCCCCUCCCUCGAAGAAGAACACGCUGCCGCCGUAGAAUCGCUGUUCGAGCUUCCUCCUCUGAUGGAUCGGAUGAUUUCUCAUGGAGAAAGUUUUCUCUUUCAGUGCAGCGCGGUUCCGAGCGUGCGCUUUCAAAUUUGAGAGAAAUUCUCAAAAAGGAAACUGGGUUUGAUGUGGAGGGUGUUGGUCAGCAGUCCACAAAGGUGUUCAACAUUGUGCAGGACGUUGCAAGAAAGAGUGGAGAUGCUCUAGUCCGAUUUCGGAUGGGAAAGGUUCCUUCUUUGGUCGAUUGGAACAAGUGGGAAAAUUGGAAGGACAUUCAAAAGUGGGAACCUAAUCGUAUUUGGGUAUUGCUUUUGUAUAUCAGUAUUGUGGCUAUUUUUUGUCAAAGAAUCUUUGGAACCAUUAGAAGUCAUCUAUACCAACGAAGUAAGAAGGAAUUGACUGAGGCGUACAUGGAAGCAUUGAUACCUGAGCCUUCUAGAGCAAAUAUUAGGAAGUUCAAGAAAAGCAUAUGGAGGAAGAAAUUGCCAAAAGGAUUGAUUGUUAAGAAGUUCAUUGAAGGACCUGGGGGAACACUUGUUCAAGAUAAAGCUUAUGUUGGAGAAGAUGCAUGGGAGGAUGAUCCAGAACCUUCUUUCCAAGUUACUAGUAGAAUUGAUAAAGAUGCAAUGUUAAGCCUUGAAGAGAAGAAAGAAUUGAAGGAGACAUUGGGCAUUACAGAUCCUACUGAUAAGAUUUUAGAUGACAGAGAAAAUGGAAUGAAGUGGAGAGAACGGCUAGCAGCAUGGAAAGAAAUUCUCAGCAAUGACAAUCUGGCUGAGAAUAUUGACUCCAUGAAAGCUAAGUACGUAGUUGAUUUUGACAUGCAAGAAGUGGAGAAAAGCUUGCGUGAACAAGUUAUGAAUAAAGCACCAGAUACGCUAUCUAAUAGGGCACUAUGGAUAUCAAAAAGAUGGUGGCGUUAUCGUCCUAAACUGCCCUAUACAUAUUUUCUUAACAAACUCAAUUCUUCAGAGGUUGCUGCUGUAGUGUUUUCUGAGGACCUAAAAAAGCUAUAUGUUACAAUGAAAGAAGGCUUUCCUUUGGAAUAUAUUGUGGAUAUUCCUCUUGAUCCUUAUUUGUUUGAGGUAGUCUCAAGUUCAGGUGUUGAAGUGGACCUUCUUCAAAAGCGGCAGAUGCACUAUUUCUUGAAAGUGGUGGUUGCAUUGGCGCCGGGUUUACUUAUUUUGUGGCUUAUUAAAGAAUCUGUAAUCCUUUUGAAUAUAACAUCUCAACGCUACCUAUAUAAAAGAUAUAAUCAACUUUUUGACAUGGCUUAUGCGGAGAAUUUUAUCCUGCCAGAGGAACACACUGAAGAAUCCAAGUCUAUGCUUAAGGAAGUUGUAUUAGGGGGUGAUGUUUGGGACCUUCUUGAUGAGAUUAUGAUAUAUAUGAAUAAUCCCAUGCAGUAUUAUGAAAAGCAAGUGCAAUUUGUUCGGGGUAUACUUCUCUCUGGACCACCUGGGACAGGCAAAACUCUUUUUGCCAGGACACUUGCAAAGCAAAGCGGUUUGCCAUUUGUUUUUGCAUCUGGUGCUGAAUUUACUGAUAGUGAAAAAAGUGGGGCAGCAAGAAUCAAUCAAAUAUUUUCCAUUGCCAGAAGAAAUGCUCCUUCUUUUGUGUUUGUGGAUGAAAUUGACGCUAUAGCUGGCAGACAUGCAAGGAAGGAUCCUCGGAGACGAGCAACAUUUGAGGCUUUACUCACUCAGCUCGAUGGAGAGAAGGAGAAAACUGGUGUUGAUCGUUUCUCUCUUAGGCAAGCUGUAAUAUUCUUAUGUGCCACUAACCGGCCAGAUGAAUUGGACCCUUCAUUUGUCCAGCCAGGACGCAUUGAUCGACGCCUAUACAUUGGUUUACCUGAUGCCAAACAACGGGUGCAAAUAUUUGGUGUGCAUAGUGUAGGGAAGAAAUUUUCAGAUGACGUAGAUUUUGAAAAGCUUGUUUUUCGCACUGUUGGUUAUUCUGGAGCUGAUAUUCGAAAUCUUGUCAAUGAAGCGGCAAUAAUGUCUGUACGGAAAGGUCAUUCCAUGAUAACGCAAAAAGACAUCAUUGAUGUAUUAGAUAAACAGUUGCUCGAGGGUAUGGGUGUACUGCUCACUGAAGAAGAACAAUUGAAGUGUGAAGAAAGUGUUUCCAUUGAAACAAAGAGAUUACUAGCAGUACAUGAGGCUGGCCAUAUAUUAUUAGCCCAUUUGUUCACUCGAUUUGAUUGGCAUGCAUUUUCGCAGUUGCUUCCUGGUGGCAAGGAGACUGCUAUUUCUGUAUUUUAUCCAAGGGAGGACAUGGUAGACCAAGGGUAUACUACAUUUGGUUAUAUGAAAAUGCAAAUGGUUGUUGCACACGGAGGACGCUGUGCUGAAAGGAUUCUGUUUGGUGAUGAUAUUAGUGAUGGAGGUAGAGAUGAUCUGGAGAAAAUAACCAAAAUUGCUAGAGAAAUGGUAAUUAGCCCAAGAAAUUCAAGAUUAGGCCUUACAACCUUGGUAAGAAGAGUUGGAAUGAUGGACCGACCUGAUAGUUCUGAUGGAGAGUUGAUCAAGUAUAAGUGGGACGACCCUUAUGUGAUUCCUGCUGAUAUGACUGUUGAAGUUUCUGAACUCUUUAGUCGGGAACUUACGAGGUACAUUGAUGAGACUGAAGAAAUUGCUAUGAAUGGCUUGAUGCAAAACAAGCAUAUCUUGCACAUGCUUGCCGAAGAACUUGUAGAAAAAUCAAGGGUUACUGGAUUGGAAGUAGAGGAGAGAAUGAAGCAGUAUUCUCCUGUGAUGCUUGAGGAUCUUGCAGUGCCUUUUCAAGUAAACAUUGAAGAGGAGGGGCCAUUGCCUGUUAAUGAUCACUUGAGUUAUCAACCACUUGAUGUGUAUCCUGCACAGCUUCAUCGGUGUUGAGUAUUCACUAUCAAUUCAGGUGUUGUGCGUCAGGAAAUGGAGUACUUCACAUAGACCUUUUUAUUGAGCAUCAGAGUGUUUCCAAAUACAAUUUUCUUUAUGUAAUUCCUAACUGGGAUUUCAAUAGGAAGUGACUUAAUCUUCAUCAGAUGUCAGAUUUUGAUUUUUCGUUUAAUGUUGGCAUUGCAUGAGUAUUUCAUGCACUACGUUGGUGUGGUUUCCAUGUCUGCAAAUUCUUCAAUGUGGAGAACAUUGCCAGUUAAUGAUUGCUAACUACUUGGUUUUUGAGAAGAUCAAAAGUUAAGGAAACAUCCCGCCUACGAGUUCCUUUUGAAUCUUGCAAGGUAGCUGUUCAUCUCAUUGUUGCUAUUUUCUUUCGACUAAUGUUUUUGGAGGUCCGGCUGUAUCGGGAACUCGAGCAAAUAACUCUUGUUUCAAAUGCUGUUAUUUGUUGUGGUUUUAUCUUGGUUCGGCAUCAGUACCUUGUGGAUAUAAGGUCUGAGCAUUUGCUUUUGUCAUGAAACAAACAUUAAUUCAUUACUGACCUUAUUUCAAAUGUUGCUGAAGUUGGGAUUAUAAUCAUUCAUAUCUUGAAACCAAGUUUGUAUACUUUUCAUGUGGGAUUUAUUUACAUUA